RNAcentral lists this ribosomal RNA (329 nucleotides) under uncultured eukaryote. RNAcentral describes it as "partial 18S ribosomal RNA". It matches the Rfam family "Eukaryotic small subunit ribosomal RNA", at positions 1470 to 1796 of the family's 1831-position model. The record is from RNAcentral.
CCCUUAGAUGUUCUGGGCCGCACGCGCGCUACACUGAUGCAUUCAACGAGUCUAAAACCUGCUCUGAUAGGGGUGGGUAAUCUUUUGAAUGUGCAUCGUGAUUGGGAUAGAUGAUUGCAAUUUUUCAUCUUCAACGAGGAAUGCCUAGUAAACGCAAGUCAUCAGCUUGCAUUGAUUACGUCCCUGCCCUUUGUACACACCGCCCGCCGCUCCUACCGAUUGAAUGAUCCGAUGAAUAUCAUGGAUUGAGGAUUAUAGCAGGUUCGCCUGUCUUGAUCUUCGAGAAGUGAAGUAAAUCUUAUCAUUUAGAGGAAGGAGAAGUCGUAACA